CUCCAUAUUUCCUUCCUCAUGUAGAUCUCUCUGUGUAAUCUGUGUAUUAUUGUCAGUAGAUUCUGCUGCUGUACAAAAAUUGUGCUGAUCUGUUGAGAAAAAUGCACGUAAUUUAAGUUGGCGAAAGAAUUUAUACAAACUGACGUCAUAUUGAUGCCACUCUAUAUGGGGUGUAGGAAUGAAGGAGAGUCCCUUGUUCAGG
This is a non-coding RNA of Pelobates cultripes (western spadefoot toad), 202 nucleotides long. NCBI's taxonomy places the organism in Eukaryota, Metazoa, Chordata, Amphibia, Anura, Pelobatidae. The record is from the annotation of a GenBank genome assembly.